Molecule: ribosomal RNA, 462 nt
Filed under: uncultured bacterium
Lineage: Bacteria
Description: partial 16S ribosomal RNA
Rfam family: Bacterial small subunit ribosomal RNA
Source: RNAcentral
CCUACGGGAGGCAGCAGUGAGGAAUAUUGGUCAAUGGGCGCGAGCCUGAACCAGCCAAGUCGCGUGAGGGAGGACGGCCCUACGGGUUGUAAACCUCUUUUGCCGGGGAGCAACGGGCGCCACGUGUGGCGUCACUGAGAGUACCCGGAGAAAAAGCAUCGGCUAACUCCGUGCCAGCAGCCGCGGUAAUACGGAGGAUGCGAGCGUUAUCCGGAUUUAUUGGGUUUAAGGGGUGCGUAGGCGGCAUAAUAAGUUAGAAGGGAAAUACCCAGGGCUUAACUCGGGUGCUGCUUCUAAGACUGUUGAGCUUGAGUGCGGGAGAGGUUAAUGGAAUUCCUAGUGUAGCGGUGGAAUGCGUAGAUAUUAGGAGGAACACCAGAGGCGAAGGCGAUUAACUGGACCGUAACUGACGCUGGGGCACGAAAGUGUGGGUAGCAAACAGGAUUAGAUACCCUGGUAGUC